AGUGAACGCUGGCGGUAGGCCUAACACAUGCAAGUCGAACGGCAGCACAGUAAGAGCUUGCUCUUACGGGUGGCGAGUGGCGGACGGGUGAGGAAGACAUCGGAAUCUACUUUUUCGUGGGGGAUAACGUAGGGAAACUUACGCUAAUACCGCAUACGACCUACGGGUGAAAGCAGGGGAUCUUCGGACCUUGCGCGAUUAAAUGAGCCGAUGUCGGAUUAGCUAGUUGGUGGGGUAAAGGCCCACCAAGGCGACGAUCCGUAGCUGGUCUGAGAGGAUGGUCAGCCACACUGGAACUGAGACACGGUCCAGACUCCUACGGGAGGCAGCAGUGGGGAAUAUUGGACCAUGGGCGCAAGCCUGAUCCAGCCAUACCGCGUGUGUGAAGAAGGCAUUCGGUUUGUAAAGCCAUUUUGUUGGGAAAGAAAAGCAGCAGGUUAAUACCCCGCUGUUCUGACGGUACCAAAAGAAUAAGCAACGGCUAACUUCGUG
This 492-nucleotide ribosomal RNA is filed under the name uncultured bacterium. RNAcentral describes it as "partial 16S ribosomal RNA". It matches the Rfam family "Bacterial small subunit ribosomal RNA", at positions 29 to 507 of the family's 1533-position model. The record is from RNAcentral.